This 198-nucleotide ribosomal RNA is filed under the name uncultured bacterium. Its description in RNAcentral is "partial 16S ribosomal RNA". It matches the Rfam family "Bacterial small subunit ribosomal RNA", at positions 328 to 539 of the family's 1533-position model. The record is from RNAcentral.
ACGCUCGACACCUACGGGCGGCAGCAGUGGGGAAUAUUGCACAAUGGGGGAAACCCUGAUGCAGCGACGCCGCGUGAGCGAAGAAGUAUUUCGGUAUGUAAAGCUCUAUCAGCAGGGAAGAAACUGACGGUACCUGACUAAGAAGCACCGGCUAAAUACGUGCCAGCAGCCGCGGUAAUCUGAGCGGGCUGGCAAGGC